GAUGAACGCUGGCGGCGUGCCUAAUACAUGCAAGUCGAGCGAACAGACGAGGAGCUUGCUCCUCUGACGUUAGCGGCGGACGGGUGAGUAACACGUGGAUAACCUACCUAUAAGACUGGGAUAACUUCGGGAAACCGGAGCUAAUACCGGAUAAUAUAUUGAACCGCAUGGUUCAAUAGUGAAAGACGGUUUUGCUGUCACUUAUAGAUGGAUCCGCGCCGCAUUAGCUAGUUGGUAAGGUAACGGCUUACCAAGGCAACGAUGCGUAGCCGACCUGAGAGGGUGAUCGGCCACACUGAAACUGAGACACGGUCCAGACUCCUACGGGAGGCAGCAGUAGGGAAUCUUCCGCAAUGGGCGAAAGCCUGACGGAGCAACGCCGCGGGAGGGAUGAAGGUCUUCGGAUCGUAAAACUCUGUUAUUAGGGAAGAACAAAUGUGUAAGUAACUAUGCACGUCUUGACGGUACCGAAUCAGAAAGCCACGGCUAACUACGU
RNAcentral lists this ribosomal RNA (496 nucleotides) under uncultured bacterium. RNAcentral describes it as "partial 16S ribosomal RNA". It matches the Rfam family "Bacterial small subunit ribosomal RNA", at positions 28 to 506 of the family's 1533-position model. The record is from RNAcentral.